Molecule: ribosomal RNA, 465 nt
Filed under: uncultured bacterium
Lineage: Bacteria
Description: partial 16S ribosomal RNA
Rfam family: Bacterial small subunit ribosomal RNA
Source: RNAcentral
GAUGAACGCUGGCGGCGUGCUUAACACAUGCAAGUCGAACGGAAAGGCUCCUGCUUGCAGGGGUACUCGAGUGGCGAACGGGUGAGUAACACGUGGGUGAUCUGCCCUGCACUUCGGGAUAAGCCUGGGAAACUGGGUCUAAUACCGGAUAGGACGAUGGUUUGGAUGCCAUUGUGGAAAGUUUUUCGGUGUGGGCUGAGCUCGCGGCCUAUCAGCUUGUUGGUGGGGUAGUGGCCUACCAAGGCGUCGACGGGUAGCCGGCCUGAGAGGGUGUACGGCCACAUUGGGACUGAGAUACGGCGCAGACUCCUACGGGAGGCAGCAGUGGGGAAUAUUGCACAAUGGGCGCAAGCCUGAGGCAGCGACGCCGCGUGCGGGAUGACGGCCUUCGGGUUGUAAACUCCUUUCGCUAGGGACGAAGCGCAAGUGACGGUACCUGGAGAAGAAGCCCCGGCUAACUACGUG